UACGUACGAGGCGAGCGUUAUCCGGAAUUACUGGGCGUAAAGCGCGCGCAGGCGGCUUGAGAAGUAGGGCGUGAAAUCUCCCGGCCUAACUGGGAGGGGUCGUUCUAAACUGACAGGCUUGAGGAUGGCAGAGGUCGGUGGAAUUCCUGGUGUAGUGGUGAAAUGCGUAGAGAUCAGGAGGAACACCGGUGGCGAAGGCGGCCGACUGGGCCAUAACUGACGCUGAGGCGCGAAAGCUCGGGGAGCGAACGGG
RNAcentral lists this ribosomal RNA (253 nucleotides) under uncultured bacterium. Its description in RNAcentral is "partial 16S ribosomal RNA". It matches the Rfam family "Bacterial small subunit ribosomal RNA", at positions 524 to 776 of the family's 1533-position model. The record is from RNAcentral.